This 626-nucleotide ribosomal RNA is filed under the name uncultured bacterium. RNAcentral's name for it is "bacterial SSU rRNA". It matches the Rfam family "Bacterial small subunit ribosomal RNA", at positions 202 to 842 of the family's 1533-position model. The record is from RNAcentral.
AAAAGGAGAAAUCCGGUAUAGGAUGGGCUCGCGGCGCAUUAGCUAGUUGGUGAGGUAACGGCUCACCAAGGCGACGAUGCGUAGCCGACCUGAGAGGGUGGACGGCCACACUGGGACUGAGAUACGGCCCAGACUCCUACGGGAGGCAGCAGUGGGGAAUAUUGGGCAAUGGGCGCAAGCCUUACCCAGCAAUACCGCGUGAGUGAAGAAGGUCUUCGGAUUGUAAAGCUCUUUGAUCAGGGACGAACAGAUGACGGUACCUGAAGAACAAGCCCCGGCUAACUACGUGCCAGCAGCCGCGGUAAAACGUAGGGGGCGAGCGUUGUCCGGAAUGACUGGGCGUAAAGGGUGCGUAGGCGGCAUAAUAAGUUAGAAGUGAAAUACCCAGAGCUUAACUCGGGUGCUGCUUCUAAGACUGUUGAGCUUGAGUGCGGGAGAGGUUAAUGGAAUUCCUAGUGUAGCGGUGGAAUGCGUAGAUAUUAGGAGGAACACCAGAGGCGAAGGCGAUUAACUGGACCGUAACUGACGCUGAGGCACGAAAGUGUGGGUAGCAAACAGGAUUAGAUACCCUGGUAGUCCACACUGUAAACGAUGGAUACUAGAGGCAGGAGGUAUCGACUCCUUCU